Long non-coding RNA from Lutra lutra (Eurasian river otter), 858 nucleotides. RefSeq lists it as uncharacterized. NCBI's taxonomy places the organism in Eukaryota, Metazoa, Chordata, Mammalia, Carnivora, Mustelidae. The record is from RefSeq and is a predicted model, not a curated record. The transcript is spliced from 5 exons.
GAGGUGCUGGCAGAUUUGCUUUCUGAAGGCAGCCCAUCUUCUGGUUCAUAGCACCUUCUUGCUGUGUUCUCACAUAGUGAGGGGGGUAAAAGAGAUCUCUUGGGCCUCUUUUAUAGGGUCACUAAUUUCAUUCAUGAGGGAUUCAGCCUCAUGACCUAAUGACCUCUGCAAAGCCCCAUCUCCUAAUACCAUCACCUUGGGGGUUGGGAUUCAACAUAUGAAUCUUGGGGGACACACCCUGUAUUCAAACUGUAGCACCAUAUAACUAGUUUUCUAGUUCAUAGGUCCAUAAAUGGGAGGAGAUCUUGCCCCAUGAGCCAUCAUAAUUAGGAUCUCUCUCUCUCUCUUUUUUAAGGAUAUCAUUUCUUUUGACUCGCAUGAAAUUUGGGACUUUGGAGCUCAUGGUAUUUAUGAGACUAUCGCACUACCUACUGCACUAACGAGACACCUGGAGCUGAUGGUAUUUAGACUUUGGACAUGUAAGGGGUAGAUACUUUUGGAGAUAUUGAGAUUGAUAGAGCAACAUCUCCCCUGACUGAAUAUCCCUACUGAAUGACACUAAGUUUUGGAAGUCGAGAAGGAAGAUAAAUCAUGUACAUUUCUGGACGAGGUUGACUAGUAUAGGUAAUUGAUGUAUGUUUCCUCACUUCUUCUCCAGGUGUUGGUGUUUGGAGAUGCCAGAAGAGAGAGAGAACAGGCAUGCCAGUGAGUGCAAGCAAGUGUGAGCAGAGGGGAGAGGUGGAGGCAGAGGGAGAAUGAGAAUCCCAAGCAGGUUCCAGGCUCAGCAUGGAGCGCUUAGUGGAGCUCCAUCUAGCCCUGAGAUCAUGACCUGAGCCGAAAUCAAGGGUCCAAAGUUUC